UACCAGUGUACGUUCACACAGGCAAUGCUGGGUGGGUGGAGCCUUUUCUCCACCCGUAUCUGCGGCUGACACCAGAGCUCGAGGCAGUGCUGGAUCCUUAACCCCCUCAGCGAGGCCAGGGAUCAACCCCGCAAGCUCGUGGCUCCUAGUUGGAUUCAUUUCCGCUUUGCCCCGACGGGAACUCCUGGGUGGUUUCUUUGUUGUUGUUGUUGAGGUGUAUGAGUUUUCUUUAUAUAUGUUUUGGAGGUGAACCUCACGGGCAGUGGUCCCUUUCUCCUCAGUGCUUCUGUAGAGCUGCUGUCCACAGUGUGCCAGCCACUGGCCAGAAGGAGCCAUUUCUGCUUAAUUGAGUUCAGUCAGUAGUUAGGUCUGCCUCUUGCAGUGAACAGAAUAAAGCAGCCUAUGGUUCACUCCCAGGGGCCACCACACAAGUGUGUCCAUGCAGCUGGAAUUUCAGGUGUGUCACCCUGGAGCUGAGGCCUCCAGAUGGACUCGUAGAAGGGAGAUGUGUAAGGCUCCAUCCCUCAGCAGCCCACGAUCUCUGAAGGUUUGCCACUGUGGCCAAUGUUUUAUGGAAGCUUCUGAGGCCGUAGAGCAGAGGGAAGUUCUGAGCACACGGAGGACAAGCCAGGGUGGUGCUGUGUGGCCGCAAACAACCCUAAGUAGGGGAUACGUGUGGGGGACAGGCUCUAACACCUUGAUUCCUUAUGUCUGUGUCUCUGCAGUAUGUUUCAUGGAGAGUCUGAGUGACAGCAACCAUGAUGAAAGUGAUACAGACUCAGUGGUGGAGAGCCUGAGCAGCCGCCAGGAUGAGGAGGCUGCAGGUAGGGAAGAGCACGCAGCUGGGAUCCAGUGGGAGAGGGUUCCUGGGAGCACCUGGGUUCCGCCUGCUGCCGGGAGAGGGAGGAAGUGGGGGAUAGGACUUGGCGGGUGGGUGGGUGGGUGGCCUAAUGAGUGGCACUCUGCUGUGGUGUUUUCCCCUGUGAAAUGGAUACCACGAAGAAGACAUGGGUCCCUGGUCUUUGUUGUGCUGUGUUUGUAUUCCUCUCUCCUUCCUUUGAGAGGGAGAAUCGAUUUUCCCUGCCAAAGCUGCUCCUUCCUGCUUUGGUCUCUGCCCAUUGUGCAAGUUUGCUUUGUGAUUUGCACCGUGAGGGCCCAGUGCACAAGAGCUGUUGACUUGGUUUCCUUUAUUGGCCUUGAGGGACCUGAAGUGGUGGCACCCAAAGCUCUCCUAGGCCCUUGACCCUGGAGACCAAGUUGGUCGAGUGAGUGUCAGGUGGUGGGUGAGAAGGCAGCUCUCUGGCUCUGCAUGUUUGGGAUUUCUGGCCUCCCUGUCUUGUUGUGUCCUCACGGUGUGUCCUGAGGGAAGGGAUGUUCGCAGAGUUGGAUGAGUUAAAGGAGGCAUACUUGGAGUUCCCGUAGUUAACGAAUCCAACUAGGAACCAUGAGAUUGCGGGUUCAACCCCUUGCCUCACUCGGUGUGUUGAAUAUCCAGCAUUCUUGUGAGCUAUAGUGUUUGUCGCAGAUACAGCUUGCCUCCUGUAUUUCUGUGGCUGUGGUUUAGACUGGCAGCUGCAGCUCCCAUUUCGUCCCUAGCCUGGGAACUUCCAUAUCCUGCCAGAGUUGCCCUGGAAUAAAGAAAAUGACAAAAAUACUCUCA
Molecule: long non-coding RNA, 1660 nt
Filed under: Sus scrofa (pig)
Lineage: Eukaryota; Metazoa; Chordata; Mammalia; Artiodactyla; Suidae
Description: lncRNA (ENSSSCG00035025991.1)
Source: RNAcentral